AUUGAACGCUGGCGGCAGGCUUAACACAUGCAAGUCGAGCGGGGUGAUGGUGCUUGCACUAUCACUUAGCGGCGGACGGGUGAGUAAUGCUUAGGAAUCUGCCUAUUAGUGGGGGACAACAUCUCGAAAGGGAUGCUAAUACCGCAUACGUCCUACGGGAGAAAGCAGGGGAUCACUUGUGACCUUGCGCUAAUAGAUGAGCCUAAGUCGGAUUAGCUAGUUGGUGGGUAAAGGCCUACCAAGGCGACGAUCUGUAGCGGGUCUGAGAGGAUGAUCCGCCACACUGGGACUGAGACACGGCCUAGACUCCUACGGGAGGCAGCAGUGGGGAAUAUUGGACAAUGGGGGGAACCCUGAUCCAGCCAUGCCGCGUGUGUGAGGAAGGCCUUAUGGUUGUAAAGCACUUUAAGCGAGGAGGAGGCUCUUUUGGUUAAUACCCAAGGUGAGUGGACGUUACUCGCAGAAUAAGCACCGGCUAACUCUGUGCCAGCCGCCGCAGUAA
RNAcentral lists this ribosomal RNA (502 nucleotides) under uncultured bacterium. RNAcentral's name for it is "partial 16S ribosomal RNA". It matches the Rfam family "Bacterial small subunit ribosomal RNA", at positions 30 to 523 of the family's 1533-position model. The record is from RNAcentral.